AUUAUAAGAUAUAAUCUUUAAAUUCAAAGAAUUUGGGCGGUAAUUUAGUCUUUCAGAGGAACCUGGUUUUUUGAUCGAUAAACCACGAAGAAUCUUACUUAUUCUAUUUAAUUGUUUGUAUACCGUCAUUAUCAGAUAAUAUUUAGAGAUAAAAUUAUUAGAUUUUUAAUAAAAAUUAAAAUUAGAUCAAGGUGCAGCUUAUGAAUAAGUUAAAAUAGGUUACAAUUAAGUAAAUAUAAUAUGAAGUAAGAUUUGAAAACAAUCUUAUGAAGGUGGAUUUGGUUGUAAUAGAAAUUAGUAUGAUAAAAAGAUAUAAGCUCUAGAUUAUGUACU
Molecule: ribosomal RNA, 333 nt
Filed under: Mithraculus cinctimanus
Lineage: Eukaryota; Metazoa; Arthropoda; Malacostraca; Decapoda; Mithracidae
Description: partial small subunit ribosomal RNA
Source: RNAcentral